RNAcentral lists this ribosomal RNA (403 nucleotides) under Verrucomicrobiota bacterium. RNAcentral describes it as "Verrucomicrobia bacterium partial 16S ribosomal RNA". It matches the Rfam family "Bacterial small subunit ribosomal RNA", at positions 355 to 776 of the family's 1533-position model. Lineage: Bacteria; Pseudomonadati; Verrucomicrobiota. The record is from RNAcentral.
UGGGGAAUAUUGCACAAUGGGGGAAACCCUGAUGCAGCGACGCCGCGUGAGCGAAGAAGGUUUUCGAAUCGUAAAGCUCUGUCCUAUGAGAAGAUAAUGACGGUAUCAUAGGAGGAAGCCCCGGCUAAAUACGUGCCAGCAGCCGCGGUAAUACGUAUGGGGCGAGCGUUGUCCGGAAUUAUUGGGCGUAAAGGGUACGUAGGCGGUCUAUUAAGUCAGGUGUGAAAGCGUGAGGCUUAACCUCAUUAAGCACUUGAAACUGAUAGACUUGAGUGAAGGAGAGGAAAGUGGAAUUCCUAGUGUAGCGGUGAAAUGCGUAGAGAUUAGGAGGAACACCGGUGGCGAAAGCGGCUUUUUGGCCUGCAACUGACACUGAGGCGCGAAAGCGUGGGGAGCAAACAGG